This 1580-nucleotide unclassified non-coding RNA is filed under the name uncultured fungus. Its description in RNAcentral is "sequence contains 18S rRNA gene, ITS1, 5.8S rRNA gene, ITS2, 28S rRNA gene". The stretch from base 559 to 1580 matches the Rfam family "Eukaryotic large subunit ribosomal RNA", at positions 1 to 961 of the family's 3401-position model. The record is from RNAcentral. Lineage: Eukaryota; Fungi.
GGUUGGAUCAUUAAAAAGUUGAAAGGACGGUUGACCAAAAGUUAGCCCGACUUGACACCUGUGAACUUGUAUUAGUCUCUUCUGGGAUUUUGAGCCCAGAAUUUAACUUUGUAUUUUAACUAGUCUUGAUUUAAAUAUUAAAUAUUUAACAACUUUUGACAACGGAUCUCUUGGUUCUCGCAACGAUGAAGAACGCAGCGAAUUGCGAUAAGUAAUGUGAAUUGCAUAUUCCGUGAAUCAUUAAAUCUUUGAACGCACAUUGCGCCUAUUGGUUAUCCGAUAGGCAUAUCUGUUUGAGAAUUAGUUUAACUUCACUAACGGGAAGGGCAACCUUUCUGGUAUGUGGCUUUGGGGUCCUCUUUAUUGAGUUCCCUUGAAUUGAUUUAACUUGUUUGAGCUCCUGUUGAAGCACGGACGCAUUAUCAAGGUGUUGACCAUUAGUACGCAAGGAAAGCGGUCAUUUUAGCCAAAAGAUUUGCUAGUAGUGUUUCAUAAAGGACUUGAUGAUGGUUAUGUCUAUGACAACUUAAUACCAAGUCAAAUUUUGACUUGAAGACUUGAUCUCAAAUCAGAUAAGACUACCCGCUGAACUUAAGCAUAUCAAUAAGCAGAGGAAAAGAAACUAACAAGGAUUCCCCUAGUAACGGCGAGUGAAGCGGGAAUAGCUCAAAUUUGAAAUCUCAUUGGUCCCCAAUGCGAAUUGUAGUUUAAAGAAGCGUUUUCGGAGAUUGGCUAGGUCAAAGUGUUUGGGAUAACAUGUCAUAGAAGGUGAGAACCCUGUUGGCGAUCUAGUCUAAUUUCUAUGUGAUACGUUUUCAAAGAGUCGGGUUGUUUGGGAAUGCAGCCCAAAAUGGGUGGUAAAUACCAUCUAAAGCUAAAUAUUGGCGAGAGACCGAUAGCGAACAAGUACCGUGAGGGAAAGGUGAAAAGAACUUUGAAAAGAGAGUUAAAAGUACGUGAAAUUGUCAAAAGGGAAACACUUGAAACCAGUCUUGUUGGCUGAAUCUCAACUGGUCUAACGAUUAGUCUAUGGUUUAGUUGGCAGGUCAACAUCGGUUUUGCCUGAAGUACAAGGCAGCUGGAAGGUGGCGCUCUGCGUGUUAUAGCCAGUUGUUAUGCUUUGGGUAGGACCGAGGAUUGCAGUCUAGUCUUGGGUAUCCAGAUGCCAGUUGAUGUAUUACUUUGGACUACUUGUAGAUCAAGGCGAUAAUAAUGCUGCUCGUUUGGUUUUAUCACAUCUAGGCUUAGGAUGUUGGCAUAAUGGUUUUAAAUGACCCGUCUUGAAACACGGACCAAGGAGUCUAACACAUAUGCGAGUAUUUGGGUGAAAAACUCGAAUGCGCAAUGAAAGUAAUAAGUGGGACCCGCAAGGUGCACCAUUGACCGGUCAGGAUAUUUUUUGAUAGAUCUGAGUAAGAGCAUAUUUGUUAGGACCCGAAAGAUGGUGAACUAUGCCUGGAUAGGGUGAAGCCAGAGGAAACUCUGGUGGAGGCUCGUAGCGAUUCUGACGUGCAAAUCGAUCGUCAAAUCUGGGUAUAGGGGCGAAAGACUAAUCGAACCAUCUAGUAGCUGGUUCCCUC